This 215-nucleotide ribosomal RNA is filed under the name uncultured Chlorella. RNAcentral describes it as "partial 16S ribosomal RNA". It matches the Rfam family "Bacterial small subunit ribosomal RNA", at positions 359 to 591 of the family's 1533-position model. Lineage: Eukaryota; Viridiplantae; Chlorophyta; Trebouxiophyceae. The record is from RNAcentral.
GAAUUUUCCACAAUGGGCAAACCCUGACGGAGCAAUGCCGCGUGAAGGAUAAAGGCCUAUGGGUUGUAAACUUUUUUUCUCAGAGAAGAAUUUUGACGGUAUCUGAGGAAUAAGCAUCGGCUAACUCUGUGCCAGCAGCCGCGGUAAGACAGAGGAUGCAAGCGUUAUCCGGAAUGAUUGGGCGUAAAGCGUCUGUAGGUGGUUUGACAAGUCUU